This 784-nucleotide long non-coding RNA is filed under the name Homo sapiens (human). RNAcentral describes it as "HSALNT0388127". Lineage: Eukaryota; Metazoa; Chordata; Mammalia; Primates; Hominidae. The record is from RNAcentral.
AGAUAGGAGUCAGGGCGCCUGGCCCGCAGGACACUAGAGAUCUGCGGAGGAGAAGGGAUGAGUCUGCCAGGCCCACCAGCCUGGCCCCCAGACCCUCCCCACCCCACACACGCAGACACGUCUUACAAGUCCUGUGAGAUAGGGGCUGCCAGCGUCUCCCAGGAUGUGGCCCACCGUGAUCUGAAGUGCCUCUGCCGUCCCCCGGCAUCUGGGCACCACCACAGACUGCAAAACAUAGGCACAGCAGGGGGGCACCCCAAGUGAGGGCACCCUUGCCUGCUGUUCCCCACCUGCCAAGGACCUGCCUGGAGGAGUGACAGGCCAUUCAGGUGAGUGGGAUGGGAGGGAGUCGACGGUCCCCAAGGUCUAAAGUCCCACCCCAGAACAUCAAGACAUCAAGCCCAUCUGAAGCUUCCCCAGUGCCCCAGGAUGGGGGUGCCAAGGCCCCUGAUCAGGGCCACCCCUCUUGAGAGUUUGCUCUUGAACUGGGAAGGAACCAGGAUGCAGCAGCACAAGCGGGCAGGGCGAAGAGCGGGUGCAUGCCAGGUGUCUGCAUGUGCAGGCAAUUGGGCAGGGGUGGUACGGAGGGCUCAGUCCUCUCAGGAACCUCAAGGCCCCUGGGGCAGAGACCAAAGGCGGCCUUGCUGGAGAAGCCCGCACGACUCCACGGACAAGGCUGAGAACAUAAAGAAGAUGAACUCUGGGCCAGGCGCGGUGGCUCACGUCUGUAAUCCCAGCACUUUGGGAGGCCAAGGCGGGUGGAUCACCCGAGGUCAGGAGGUCA